UCAAGUGAAGAAGCGCAUACGGUGGAUGCCUUGGCAGUCAGAGGCGAUGAAAGACGUGGUAGCCUGCGAAAAGCUUCGGGGAGUCGGCAAACAGACUUUGAUCCGGAGAUCUCUGAAUGGGGGAACCCACCUAGGAUAACCUAGGUAUCUUGUACUGAAUCCAUAGGUGCAAGAGGCGAACCAGGGGAACUGAAACAUCUAAGUACCCUGAGGAAAAGAAAUCAACCGAGAUUCCCUUAGUAGUGGCGAGCGAACGGGGAUUAGCCCUUAAACUUCAUUGAUUUUAGCGGAACGCUCUGGAAAGUGCGGCCAUAGUGGGUGAUAGCCCCGUACGCGAAAGGAUCUUUGAAGUGAAAUCGAGUAGGACGGAGCACGAGAAACUUUGUCUGAACAUGGGGGGACCAUCCUCCAAGGCUAAAUACUACUGACUGACCGAUAGUGAACCAGUACCGUGAGGGAAAGGCGAAAAGAACCCCGGAGAGGGGAGUGAAAUAGAACCUGAAACCGUAUGCGUACAAGCAGUGGGAGCCUACUUGUUAGGUGACUGCGUACCUUUUGUAUAAUGGGUCAGCGACUUAUAUUCAGUGGCAAGCUUAACCGUAUAGGGUAGGCGUAGCGAAAGCGAGUCUUAAUAGGGCGUUUAGUCGCUGGGUAUAGACCCGAAACCGGGCGAUCUAUCCAUGAGCAGGUUGAAGGUUAGGUAACACUGACUGGAGGACCGAACCCACUCCCGUUGAAAAGGUAGGGGAUGACUUGUGGAUCGGAGUGAAAGGCUAAUCAAGCUCGGAGAUAGCUGGUUCUCCUCGAAAGCUAUUUAGGUAGCGCCUCAUGUAUCACUCUGGGGGGUAGAGCACUGUUUCGGCUAGGGGGUCAUCCCGACUUACCAAACCGAUGCAAACUCCGAAUACCCAGAAGUGCCGAGCAUGGGAGACACACGGCGGGUGCUAACGUCCGUCGUGAAAAGGGAAACAACCCAGACCGCCAGCUAAGGUCCCAAAGUUGUGGUUAAGUGGUAAACGAUGUGGGAAGGCUUAGACAGCUAGGAGGUUGGCUUAGAAGCAGCCAUCCUUUAAAGAAAGCGUAAUAGCUCACUAGUCGAGUCGGCCUGCGCGGAAGAUGUAACGGGGCUCAAACCACACACCGAAGCUGCGGGUGUCACGUAAGUGACGCGGUAGAGGAGCGUUCUGUAAGCCUGUGAAGGUGAGUUGAGAAGCUUGCUGGAGGUAUCAGAAGUGCGAAUGCUGACAUGAGUAACGACAAUGGGUGUGAAAAACACCCACGCCGAAAGACCAAGGGUUCCUGCGCAACGUUAAUCGACGCAGGGUUAGUCGGUUCCUAAGGCGAGGCUGAAAAGCGUAGUCGAUGGGAAACAGGUUAAUAUUCCUGUACUUCUGGUUACUGCGAUGGAGGGACGGAGAAGGCUAGGCCAGCUUGGCGUUGGUUGUCCAAGUUUAAGGUGGUAGGCUGAAAUCUUAGGUAAAUCCGGGGUUUCAAGGCCGAGAGCUGAUGACGAGUCGUCUUUUAGAUGACGAAGUGGUUGAUGCCAUGCUUCCAAGAAAAGCUUCUAAGCUUCAGGUAACCAGGAACCGUACCCCAAACCGACACAGGUGGUCGGGUAGAGAAUACCAAGGCGCUUGAGAGAACUCGGGUGAAGGAACUAGGCAAAAUGGCACCGUAACUUCGGGAGAAGGUGCGCCGGCUAGGGUGAAGGAUUUACUCCGUAAGCUCUGGCUGGUCGAAGAUACCAGGCCGCUGCGACUGUUUAUUAAAAACACAGCACUCUGCAAACACGAAAGUGGACGUAUAGGGUGUGACGCCUGCCCGGUGCCGGAAGGUUAAUUGAUGGGGUUAGCGCAAGCGAAGCUCUUGAUCGAAGCCCCGGUAAACGGCGGCCGUAACUAUAACGGUCCUAAGGUAGCGAAAUUCCUUGUCGGGUAAGUUCCGACCUGCACGAAUGGCGUAACGAUGGCGGCGCUGUCUCCACCCGAGACUCAGUGAAAUUGAAAUCGCUGUGAAGAUGCAGUGUAUCCGCGGCUAGACGGAAAGACCCCGUGAACCUUUACUGUAGCUUUGCACUGGACUUUGAGCCUGCUUGUGUAGGAUAGGUGGGAGGCUUUGAAGCGUGGACGCCAGUUCGCGUGGAGCCAUCCUUGAAAUACCACCCUGGCAUGCUUGAGGUUCUAACUCUGGUCCGUGAUCCGGAUCGAGGACAGUGUAUGGUGGGCAGUUUGACUGGGGCGGUCUCCUCCUAAAGAGUAACGGAGGAGUACGAAGGUGCGCUCAGACCGGUCGGAAAUCGGUCGCAGAGUAUAAAGGCAAAAGCGCGCUUGACUGCGAGACAGACACGUCGAGCAGGUACGAAAGUAGGUCUUAGUGAUCCGGUGGUUCUGUAUGGAAGGGCCAUCGCUCAACGGAUAAAAGGUACUCCGGGGAUAACAGGCUGAUACCGCCCAAGAGUUCAUAUCGACGGCGGUGUUUGGCACCUCGAUGUCGGCUCAUCACAUCCUGGGGCUGAAGCCGGUCCCAAGGGUAUGGCUGUUCGCCAUUUAAAGUGGUACGCGAGCUGGGUUUAGAACGUCGUGAGACAGUUCGGUCCCUAUCUGCCGUGGACGUUUGAGAUUUGAGAGGGGCUGCUCCUAGUACGAGAGGACCGGAGUGGACGAACCUCUGGUGUUCCGGUUGUCACGCCAGUGGCAUUGCCGGGUAGCUAUGUUCGGAAAAGAUAACCGCUGAAAGCAUCUAAGCGGGAAACUUGCCUCAAGAUGAGAUCUCACUGGGAACUUGAUUCCCCUGAAGGGCCGUCGAAGACUACGACGUUGAUAGGCUGGGUGUGUAAGCGUUGUGAGGCGUUGAGCUAACCAGUACUAAUUGCCCGUGAGGCUUGACCAU
Molecule: ribosomal RNA, 2889 nt
Filed under: Pseudomonas aeruginosa M8A.4
Lineage: Bacteria; Pseudomonadati; Pseudomonadota; Gammaproteobacteria; Pseudomonadales; Pseudomonadaceae
Description: bacterial LSU rRNA
Rfam family: Bacterial large subunit ribosomal RNA
Source: RNAcentral